This 416-nucleotide ribosomal RNA is filed under the name uncultured Gammaproteobacteria bacterium. Its description in RNAcentral is "partial 16S ribosomal RNA". It matches the Rfam family "Bacterial small subunit ribosomal RNA", at positions 38 to 449 of the family's 1533-position model. The record is from RNAcentral. Lineage: Bacteria; Pseudomonadati; Pseudomonadota; Gammaproteobacteria.
GGCGGCNNGCCUAACNCAUGCAAGUCGAACGGCAGCACAGUAUGUANCAAUACAUAUGGGUGGCGAGUGGCGGACGGGUGCGCAAUGUGUAGGGAUCUGCCCUGAAGUGGGGGACAACCCGGGGAAACUCGGGCUAAUACCGCAUAAUACUCUACGGAGGAAAUCUGGCUAGCAAUAGCUGGGGCUUUAGGAGGAACCUACAUCCGAUUAGCUAGUUGGUGAGGUAAUGGCUCACCAAGGCGAUGAUCGGUAGCUGGUCUGAGAGGAUGACCANCCACACUGGGACUGAGACACGGCCCAGACUCCUACGGGAGGCAGCAGUGGGGAAUAUUGGACAAUGGGGGAAACCCUGAUCCAGCAAUGCCGCGUGGGUGAAGAANGCCUUCGGGUUGUNNAGCCCUUUANGCGGGGAAGAA